This 607-nucleotide ribosomal RNA is filed under the name Plenodomus wasabiae. RNAcentral's name for it is "eukaryotic LSU rRNA". The stretch from base 240 to 393 matches the Rfam family "5.8S ribosomal RNA". Lineage: Eukaryota; Fungi; Ascomycota; Dothideomycetes; Pleosporales; Leptosphaeriaceae. The record is from RNAcentral.
UUAGAGGAAGUAAAAGUCGUAACAAGGUUUCCGUAGGUGAACCUGCGGAAGGAUCAUUACCCUUCUAUCAGGGGAUUGGUGUCAGCAUUUCGGCCUUUGGCUUACUUUCUGGCCCUUUCCUUUCUGAUUCUACCCAUGUUUUUUGCGUACUAUUUGUUUCCUUGGUGGGCUUGCCUGCCAAAAGGACAAUUCAAACCACUUGUAAUUGCAGUCAGCGUCAGUAACAAUGUAAUAAUUACAACUUUCAACAACGGAUCUCUUGGUUCUGGCAUCGAUGAAGAACGCAGCGAAAUGCGAUAAGUAGUGUGAAUUGCAGAAUUCAGUGAAUCAUCGAAUCUUUGAACGCACAUUGCGCCCCUUGGUAUUCCAUGGGGCAUGCCUGUUCGAGCGUCAUUUGUACCCUCAAGCUUUGCUUGGUGUUGGGUGAAUGUUCUCUGUGCUUGCGCAGACUGGACUCGCCUGAAAACAAUUGGCAGCCGGCAUAUUGGCCUGGAGCGCAGCACAUUUUGCGCCUCUUGCUAUGAUUGUUGGCAUCCAUCAAGAUAUUUUAUUAACUCUUGACCUCGGAUCAGGUAGGGAUACCCGCUGAACUUAAGCAUAUCAAUAA